This 101-nucleotide non-coding RNA is filed under the name Clostridiales bacterium. Its description in RNAcentral is "SAM-I sequence". It matches the Rfam family "SAM riboswitch aptamer (S box leader)". From Rfam's summary of the family: The SAM riboswitch is found upstream of a number of genes which code for proteins involved in methionine or cysteine biosynthesis in Gram-positive bacteria. Lineage: Bacteria; Bacillati; Bacillota; Clostridia; Eubacteriales. The record is from RNAcentral.
CUCUUAUCCAGAGCGGCGGAGGGACUGGCCCGAUGAUGCCCGGCAACCAACCAUUCAUAAGGUAGUGGUGCUAAUUCCUGGGAGAAAUCCACAGAUGAGAG